This is a small nuclear RNA of Antechinus flavipes (yellow-footed antechinus), 165 nucleotides long. RefSeq annotates it as U1 spliceosomal RNA. The transcript has a single exon. The record is from RefSeq and is a predicted model, not a curated record. Lineage: Eukaryota; Metazoa; Chordata; Mammalia; Dasyuromorphia; Dasyuridae.
AUACUUACUUGGCAGGGGUGAUUCCAUGAUCACGAAGGUGGUUUCCCCAGGGUGUGGCUUAUUCAUUGUGGUCAGGAUAGGCUAACCCUUGGGAUUUCCCCAAAUUCGGGGAAACUCAACUGUAUAAUUUGUGAUAGUGAGAGGACUGUGUUUCACACUCUCCCC